AGCUUCAUAUUUGUAACUGUCCUUCAAAGGGAGUCUAAGGCUCAGAUGAAGUCUACUUAACUUGUAUUUUCAGUCUGCUAAGAUCAUUGGUAAAUGCAAAGCAGAUUUCUUCUACAAGUUUUAUAAUUUAGAGUUUACAUUUAAGUCUCCAGGCCAUUUUGAGUGAGUUUUGAUUAUGCCAUGUGUCCUAGCUCAUUUUUUUAUUUCAUUAAAAAUAUUGUUUCUUGAUACUGAAGGUAAUGCAGGUUCAUUGUAGAAACAUGAAAUGAAGAAAAGAAUAAAAUUAGCCUUCAUUUUGGUCCCUCUGUGCUACUGUAACUAAGUGCCAUUGACUGGUUAAUUUAUGAAGGACAGAGAUUCAUCUCUUACAGCACUGGAAGCUGCAAGUCCAAGAUAAAGGCACCAGCAGGCUCAGGAUCUAAUGAGAACCACAUUCCGUUUCCAACGUGCUCUUGUGUGGCUGCACCCAUGGGAGGGAGAGAGAGAAAGGCGAGAGGAAGACAAAGCUGUUCCAUUUGGACAUCUGAAUUUAGGAGGGAACACAUCAAACCAGAGAGGCUACUGCCCAGAUUCUCAGCAAUCUAUGACCUAGGGAGAUUUUGCUUGGAUUGAACAAAGUGGAAAAAAAGCUAGAGGAGGCUUGUUAGUUUCUGCCAGAAACUAGCUCUCAGCCCCUUUUCAGUUCUGGUAAGAGGUGCGUAUUUUUUUUUCUCUCUCUCUGAGUGAGAAAAGUAUUUUCCAAUGAUUUUAUACAGGAAAGGCCCAAGGGCUGACUUGUCAGAGCAGGGA
RNAcentral lists this long non-coding RNA (789 nucleotides) under Mus spicilegus (steppe mouse). RNAcentral describes it as "lncRNA (ENSMSIG00000013298.1)". Lineage: Eukaryota; Metazoa; Chordata; Mammalia; Rodentia; Muridae. The record is from RNAcentral.